Molecule: microRNA precursor, 95 nt
Filed under: Canis lupus familiaris (dog)
Lineage: Eukaryota; Metazoa; Chordata; Mammalia; Carnivora; Canidae
Also listed under: 1 other name
Description: mir-8799 microRNA precursor family
Rfam family: mir-8799 microRNA precursor family
Source: Rfam by way of RNAcentral
GGGGGGAGCACAGGAUCCUGGGCUGUGUCCCCCGGUGCCCUGGGAUCCCGGGCCUGCACCACUGGAAUUGCACUCCCGGGGCUGCGCAGCCCCCU